Molecule: ribosomal RNA, 338 nt
Filed under: uncultured Sphingobacteriales bacterium
Lineage: Bacteria; Pseudomonadati; Bacteroidota; Sphingobacteriia; Sphingobacteriales
Description: bacterial SSU rRNA
Rfam family: Bacterial small subunit ribosomal RNA
Source: RNAcentral
CAUGGUGUCGUCAGCUCGUGCCGUGAGGUGUCGGGUUAAGUCCCAUAACGAGCGCAACCCUACCUUUAGUUGCCAUCAGGUAAUGCUGGGGACGUCUAAAGGAACUGCCUACGCAAGUAGUGAGGAAGGCGGGGAUGACGUCAAAUCAGCACGGCCCUUACGUCCAGGGCUACACACGUGCUACAAUGGCCGAUACAGAGGGCAGCUACCUGGUGACAGGAUGCAAAUCUCCAAAGUCGGUCUCAGUUCGGAUCGGAGUCUGCAACCCGACUCCGUGAAGUUGGAUUCGCUAGUAAUCGCGCAUCAGCCAUGGCGCGGUGAAUACGUUCCCGGGCCUU